RNAcentral lists this ribosomal RNA (350 nucleotides) under uncultured bacterium. RNAcentral describes it as "partial 16S ribosomal RNA". It matches the Rfam family "Bacterial small subunit ribosomal RNA", at positions 338 to 702 of the family's 1533-position model. The record is from RNAcentral.
CCUACGGGUGGCAGCAGUGGGGAAUAUUGGGCAAUGGGCGCAAGCCUGACCCAGCAACGCCGCGUGAAGGAAGAAGGCUUUCGGGUUGUAAACUUCUGUUCUGAGGGACGAAGAAAGUGACGGUACCGCAGGAAUAAGCCACGGCUAACUACGGGCCAGCAGCCGCGGUAAUACGUAGGGGGCAAGCGUUAUCCGGAUUUAUUGGGUUUAAAGGGCGGGGAGGCGGGAACGCAAGUCAGAGGUGAAAACUCAGGGCUAAACCCUGAGCCUGCAUUGGAAACGGUUUUUCUUGAGUGCUGGUGAGGCAAUCGUAAUUCCUUGUGUAGCUGUGAAAUUCGUCGAUAUCCGGC